GGAGGUAUCUGGGAGAAGGUUUUCCGUCCUGCCUUUAGGCGUCAGUAAACACAACUCUGCUCGAGUCGGGUGUCGAACACGUAGCCCACUCCAUAUGUAGCCAAGUCAAGCCAAGUUCAAGCGUACUAAGCUUCUUGACCACGCCUCCCACAAGAAUACAAUAAACCAAAAAUGUACCCUUUCUCACACAAACGUAUAAACUGUCCUGAUAGGAUCAACGUACAAUGUUUUAUUCCCCCCCCCCCCCCCCCC
Non-coding RNA from Biomphalaria pfeifferi, 252 nucleotides. NCBI's taxonomy places the organism in Eukaryota, Metazoa, Mollusca, Gastropoda, Planorbidae. The record is from the annotation of a GenBank genome assembly.